Molecule: ribosomal RNA, 456 nt
Filed under: Triticum aestivum (bread wheat)
Lineage: Eukaryota; Viridiplantae; Streptophyta; Magnoliopsida; Poales; Poaceae
Description: partial small subunit ribosomal RNA
Source: RNAcentral
AUGUCUAUGGCGCUUUUGGAGGCUGAACUGCAACCACGCCGGCCGGCCCUUGCUCAGACCGGCUCUCACCCUGCUAUGCCUCCUCCCUCGCCACCGCCCACCAGCACAGCCUACGCAAAGCAAGACUCAACUUCCUCCAGCCUCUCAUGGGCGGCCCGCUGCUGCCUCCUGCCGCAGCGCCCGUCGAGGUGCCUGAGCUGUCCGACGAUAGCGAGGGCAGUGAUGACGACGACCACGACACCUUCUCUCUCGCCCACGGCGACGGUGGAGGUCUCCAACUCCUUCUCCUCGCUGGCCCUCGACAGCGGCGAGAGCUCUCAGCCUUCUGGUAAUUACGUGCCUGUUCGGCAAGCGUCCGCUCGGCAGCUCAGCUCCUGGAGCGGCUGGAGUAGCUGCGGAGUGCGCCGAACGCGUUGGCUUCGUGCCUCUCCCACAGCGGAGCGGAGUGGCUUGUAG